UGCAGUGUACCCGCGGCAAGACGGAAAGACCCCGUGAACCUUUACUAUAGCUUGACACUGAACAUUGAGCCUUGAUGUGUAGGAUAGGUGGGAGGCUUUGAAGCGUGGACGCCAGUCUGCGUGGAGCCGACCUUGAAAUACCACCCUUUAAUGUUUGAUGUUCUAACGUGGACCCGUAAUCCGGGUUGCGGACAGUGUCUGGUGGGUAGUUUGACUGGGGCGGUCUCCUCCUAAAGAGUAACGGAGGAGCACGAAGGUUGGCUAAUCCUGGUCGGACAUCAGGAGGUUAGUGCAAUGGCAUAAGCCAGCUUGACUGCGAGCGUGACGGCGCGAGCAGGUGCGAAAGCAGGUCAUAGUGAUCCGGUGGUUCUGAAUGGAAGGGCCAUCGCUCAACGGAUAAAAGGUACUCCGGGGAUAACAGGCUGAUACCGCCCAAGAGUUCAUAUCGACGGCGGUGUUUGGCACCUCGAUGUCGGCUCAUCACAUCCUGGGGCUGAAGUAGGUCCCAAGGGUAUGGCUGUUCGCCAUUUAAAGUGGUACGCGAGCUGGGUUUAGAACGUCGUGAGACAGUUCGGUCCCUAUCUGCCGUGGGCGCUGGAGAACUGAGGGGGGCUGCUCCUAGUACGAGAGGACCGGAGUGGACGCAUCACUGGUGUUCGGGUUGUCAUGCCAAUGGCACUGCCCGGUAGCUAAAUGCGGAAGAGAUAAGUGCUGAAAGCAUCUAAGCACGAAACUUGCCCCGAGAUGAGUUCUCCCUGAGACUUAGAGUCUCCUGAAGGAACGUUGAAGACGACGACGUUGAUAGGCCGGGUGUGUAAGCGCAGCGAUGCGUUGAGCUAACCGGUACUAAUGAACCGUGAGGCUUAACC
This 869-nucleotide ribosomal RNA is filed under the name Salmonella enterica subsp. enterica serovar Infantis. RNAcentral describes it as "partial 23S ribosomal RNA". It matches the Rfam family "Bacterial large subunit ribosomal RNA", at positions 2060 to 2925 of the family's 2925-position model. The record is from RNAcentral. Lineage: Bacteria; Pseudomonadati; Pseudomonadota; Gammaproteobacteria; Enterobacterales; Enterobacteriaceae.